GACGAACGCUGGCGGCGUGCUUAGCACAUGCAAGUCGAACGGAAAGGCCCUGCUUUUGUGGGGUGCUCGAGUGGCGAACGGGUGAGUAACACGUGAGUAACCUGCCCUUGACUUUGGGAUAACUUCAGGAAACUGGGGCUAAUACCGGAUAGGAGCUCCUGCUGCAUGGUGGGGGUUGGAAAGUUUCGGCGGUUGGGGAUGGACUCGCGGCUUAUCAGCUUGUUGGUGGGGUAGUGGCUUACCAAGGCUUUGACGGGUAGCCGGCCUGAGAGGGUGACCGGCCACAUUGGGACUGAGAUACGGACCAGACUCCUACGGGAGGCAGCAGUGGGGAAUAUUGCACAAUGGGCGGAAGCCUGAUGAAGAAACGCCGCGUGCGGGAUGACGGCCUUCGGGUUGUAAACCGCUUUCGCCUGUGACGAAGCGUGAGUGACGGUAAUGGGUAAAGAAGCACCGGCUAACUACGUG
This 468-nucleotide ribosomal RNA is filed under the name uncultured bacterium. RNAcentral describes it as "partial 16S ribosomal RNA". It matches the Rfam family "Bacterial small subunit ribosomal RNA", at positions 28 to 507 of the family's 1533-position model. The record is from RNAcentral.